This 279-nucleotide ribosomal RNA is filed under the name uncultured bacterium. RNAcentral describes it as "partial 16S ribosomal RNA". It matches the Rfam family "Bacterial small subunit ribosomal RNA", at positions 506 to 784 of the family's 1533-position model. The record is from RNAcentral.
UGCCAGCAGCCGCGGUAAUACGGAGGGGGUUAGCGUUGUUCGGAAUUACUGGGCGUAAAGCGCACGUAGGCGGAGUAGAAAGUUAGAUGUGAAAUCCCUGGGCUCAACCCAGGAACUGCAUUUAAAACUAGUGAUCUAGAAAUUGGUAAGGGUUAGUAGAAUUUCCAGUGUAGAGGUGAAAUUCGUAGAUAUUGGAAAGAAUACCAGAAGCGACGGCGACUAACUAGGCCAUUUUUGACGCUGAGAUACGAAAGCGUGGGUAGCAAACAGGAUUAGAUA